Molecule: RNase P RNA, 314 nt
Filed under: Campylobacter concisus
Lineage: Bacteria; Pseudomonadati; Campylobacterota; Epsilonproteobacteria; Campylobacterales; Campylobacteraceae
Description: Bacterial RNase P class A
Rfam family: Bacterial RNase P class A
About the family: Ribonuclease P (RNase P) is a ubiquitous endoribonuclease, found in archaea, bacteria and eukarya as well as chloroplasts and mitochondria. Its best characterised activity is the generation of mature 5'-ends of tRNAs by cleaving the 5'-leader elements of precursor-tRNAs.
Source: RNAcentral
GUAAGCGAUCGCUUUUGUUUUUGCAAAAGAGGAAAGUCCGAGCUGCGAUAAGACAAGGUUCCAUCUAACGGAUGGCUAGGGAAACCUAAGGGAUAGUGUAACAGAAAGUAGACUUCCGCUUUGGCGCGGUAAAGGUGAAACGGCGGAGUAAGAGCCCACCGGCACGCUUGGUAACUUGCGUGGCCAUAUAAACCCAACCUGCAGCAAGAAGGGAUGGUUUUGGUCUUAUAUUAAAACCCUUCGCUAGAGCUUGUUUGUAAAAGCAAGCGUAGAUAAAUGAUCGCUCAAGACAGAACUCGGCUUAACGCCGUGCC